GACGUAGGGGGCGAGCGUUGUCCGGAUUUAUUGGGCGUAAAGCGUGCGUAGGCGGCUGCGCAAGUCGGUUGUGAAACCCCGGGGCUCAACCCCGGAACUGCAUCCGAUACUGCGUGGCUAGAGUUAGGUAGGGGAGAUCGGAAUUCCUGGUGUAGCGGUGAAAUGCGCAGAUAUCAGGAGGAACACCGGUGGCGAAGGCGGAUCUCUGGGCCUUACCUGACGCUCAGGCACGAAAGCUAGGGGAGCGAACAGG
Molecule: ribosomal RNA, 253 nt
Filed under: uncultured bacterium
Lineage: Bacteria
Description: partial 16S ribosomal RNA
Rfam family: Bacterial small subunit ribosomal RNA
Source: RNAcentral